Molecule: non-coding RNA, 211 nt
Organism: Pelobates cultripes (western spadefoot toad)
Lineage: Eukaryota; Metazoa; Chordata; Amphibia; Anura; Pelobatidae
Source: the annotation of a GenBank genome assembly
UGGGACCAUGUACCAGCGGUAGAAAAGUUUACGGGUGAUCUCUAAGUGUGAAGCGCAAAACGUCAGGCCUCUUGUUGCAUUUACUGCGGUCAGCCAGGUCUGCUCUGACAGUGUUUGAUCUAGGUCUUUUUCCCAGGAGCGUACACAAGUAAGGGAUUUAAUUCCUUGUUGGGGCAGUAAUAGCCUGUAUAUGGUGGAGAUGGGUUUUUUC